GGAAGUAAAAGUCGUAACAAUGUCUCCGUAGGUGAACCUGCGGAGGGAUCAUUACAGAGUUCGUGCCCUCGCGGGUAGACCUCCCACCCUGUGUUAUUGCUACCUUUGUUGCUUUGGCGGGCCGCCCUCGGCUACCGGCCCCGGCUGGUACGCGCCCGCCAGAGGACCCCAAACCCUGAACGUCAGUGUCGUCUGAGUACUAUACAAUAGUUAAAACUUUCAACAACGGAUCUCUUGGUUCUG
RNAcentral lists this unclassified non-coding RNA (243 nucleotides) under plant metagenome. RNAcentral describes it as "partial contains small subunit ribosomal RNA, internal transcribed spacer 1, and 5.8S ribosomal RNA". The stretch from base 1 to 54 matches the Rfam family "Eukaryotic small subunit ribosomal RNA", at positions 1778 to 1831 of the family's 1831-position model. The record is from RNAcentral.